This 22-nucleotide microRNA is filed under the name Petromyzon marinus (sea lamprey). RNAcentral's name for it is "Pma-Mir-194-o1_5p (mature (guide))". Lineage: Eukaryota; Metazoa; Chordata; Hyperoartia; Petromyzontiformes; Petromyzontidae. RNAcentral also lists the same sequence under 40 other names. The record is from RNAcentral.
UGUAACAGCAACUCCAUGUGGA